Molecule: long non-coding RNA, 214 nt
Filed under: Homo sapiens (human)
Lineage: Eukaryota; Metazoa; Chordata; Mammalia; Primates; Hominidae
Description: non-protein coding lnc-CDK19-2:1
Source: RNAcentral
CAGGCCAUAUCAUUUGAGGUUGAGGUGCCACUAUACUGCCAUGGUUCCAGAUAAUAGGAACUCUUGCCAUACUUCCUACCGUUUCUACCAUCUGACCAUUUUGUUCACACCAGCUGAUCACACCAGCUGAACAUAGUACAACUGUGGCACUCAGACUGAGAGGUGCAAUUCAAGCUAAACAUCCCCUUAGGGGACCAAUCAAUAGUGAUUCCAU